AGUGAACGCUGGCGGUAGGCCUAACACAUGCAAGUCGAACGGCAGCACAGUAAGAGCUUGCUCUUACGGGUGGCGAGUGGCGGACGGGUGAGGAAUACAUCGGAAUCUACUUUUUCGUGGGGGAUAACGUAGGGAAACUUACGCUAAUACCGCAUACGACCUACGGGUGAAAGCAAGGGAUCUUCGGACCUUGCGCGAUUGAAUGAGCCGAUGUCGGAUUAGCUAGUUGGCGGGGUAAAGGCCCACCGAGGCGACGAUCCGUAGCUGGUCUGAGAGGAUGAUCAGCCACACUGGAACUGAGACACGGUCCAGACUCCUACGGGAGGCAGCAGUAGGGAAUAUUGGACAAUGGGCGCAAGCCUGAUCCAGCCAUACCGCGUGGGUGAAGAAGGCCUUCGGGUUGUAAAGCCCUUUUGUUGGGAAAGAAAAGCAGCAGGUUAAUACCCCGCUGUUCUGACGGUACCCAAAGAAUAAGCACCGGCUAACUUCGUG
RNAcentral lists this ribosomal RNA (492 nucleotides) under uncultured bacterium. RNAcentral describes it as "partial 16S ribosomal RNA". It matches the Rfam family "Bacterial small subunit ribosomal RNA", at positions 29 to 507 of the family's 1533-position model. The record is from RNAcentral.